GUCUAUGGCCAUACCUCCCUGAAUGAGCCCGAUCUCAUCUGAUCUCAGAAGCUAAGCAGAGUUGGGUCUGGUUAGUACUUGGAUGGAAGACCACUUAGGAAUAUCAGGUACUGUAGGUG
Ribosomal RNA from Pteropus vampyrus (large flying fox), 119 nucleotides. NCBI's taxonomy places the organism in Eukaryota, Metazoa, Chordata, Mammalia, Chiroptera, Pteropodidae. The record is from Ensembl.